UUUAUCCUAUUUCAUGACUCACCAUGUCUCAUAAACUCUAUAAAUAGCCAUUAAAAUUCUGUAAUUUUCAAGCUCAAAAAUCCAUCUUAACUCCUUAUUUCUUCUCCUCUUUUUCGUGGGUAUUGGCAUCCAUGGCCAGUCAAUUGGAGCUCUAAUUUCGCCCAACAAUACCCAUAAAGAACAUCAAUUUAACCCAGAAAUUUAUAAACCCAAAUCAUCUUAUCAUUUACAACCCAUUUUCUCUCUCCUCUGUUUCGACCACCGCGGCCCCGCCGCCCAGCCACCACCAUUUGCCGGCGAACCUUUCUUGCCGCCACCCAGCAACCCUUCUCGACCUCCCUGUUGUGUGCCGUCGAGAUAAUGAAGCUGCUAUGGAUUCCUCUUAUUUUUCCGUUUUUUCUUUGUUACUGCUUAUGCCUCUUUUAUGUCAAACCAACCAAGGAAAAGAAGCUGCUACUUAUUACUUGGAUUAAAAUUGGAAGUGGGCCAAAGGAUAAAGUAGGAGUUACUUCUUCAUUUUUUUGUGGGCUUUGACCAAAUUAAGAGGAAAGCUACAAAUAAGUGGAAAUAAGGUGAACAGAACAGGGCCUAAGAGCCUAUGGAUGUAGAUUAUUGAUGGCAAAUACGGUGGUUAAAUGAUGAGUUACAGAGGUAAUACUUAUGUCCAACAAUUAUAUUUAUGUGCCCGUACAUAAAAGUAUUAUGUUUUUGUAAUUUUCAUGUCCAACCUUUAAGUUUAUAUGUCGGUAUAUGAAAUGUGGGACUAUUAUGUGAUUAUAUGUUUAUUAUGUGUUUUAUGUGAUAAAUGAUAUGAUAUAUGUUUAAGAUUAUGAUCAUGUUAUUAUGAUGUUAAAGACCUUGUUCGGAAAUAAUUAUAAUAUUUAUAAAGUUAUUUUAAAAAGAAAGACGAUGUUGCUUUUGUCGGCUUGGAAAAGUGAAUUGAACUAGUAAAUGGGCAAGUUACAGGUAGAGGCCAUGUUAAAGUUAAAGUUUGGGAAACAGUUCCCCCUGAAAAGAUGUAUGAAAAGUCCCGCCAAAGCGUGUACUUGCCAAUGAGCUGUAAAGGAAAUGAUUCCUUGCCGACACAGUUUUCAAGAUAACGAGAUUAAGUUAGUUGUUUCCGAACAAUAAAUGCUAAUGAUGAAAUAUGUGCCAAAUGAUUUUCAAAAUAAAACCGUUUUGACGGGCUGGAGUAAUAUUACUGAGUUUUCCACUCAUUUUUGUAUUUUCUGUGUUUUUCCUGUUCUCUAUUUUUAUGAUGAUGCACAAGUUCGAUUAAGGAGCUCAAGUUGCUCAAACGAGAGUUAUUACUGGAGUUGGUUAUUUAUUAUGGAGAUAUCGAGAUGAGAAAUUAUUUAUUAUGGAAAUCAUGUUAUUGAGGUUGUUAUAAGAAUAUUGAUUUAUAUUUAUUUUAUGGGAAAGUUGUAUUAUUUAUGGAAUGUUAUUAAGGAUUAUUUUAUUUGUGGGCCCAUACCCACAAGUCCCAAGGUUAAUUAAGCCUAAUUCCGCUGCAAGUGAUCAGUUAAGUGCGGUUUAUUACCGCUAAUUAAGGUGCCGAAAAGUCGGGGCGUUACAAAAUUAAACCUUCUUGAACUUAUUUUAUCUGUUUUUUUAAUUAUACGGAAUAUGAACUUGUUUUUUGAGAAUAUUAUAUGAACUUAUUGGAUAUAAUUUGUUUUUUAAUGUCAUUGUUAUUUUAUGGAGUAGUUGAUCACUUGGAAAACAAUAGUUUUUUUUUUGGGUUUAUUGUUACUUAUUUUUAAUUUUGUUGUUGUUGUUAGUGGGAAUCUAGGGGUUUCGGAAUGAUUGAGGCGUUACUGCGUUAGGGUUUAUACAAAGCCCUAAUUUAUGCUAUAUAUAAAUCGCGCCGUUGUUCUCUAUCUUCCACAACCCAUCUCAUCUUCCUCAAUCUCACUUCGUCUACCUCCUCAAAUAUCGUUCAUUUACUUUCUCUCUCCUCACCUUUUAUCAAUUUUAUUCCACGGUUAUCUAUCAAUGUCGUUGCUUAUUGCGAAAAUUUCCUCUUACUUUUUUUUUUUAAUACUAAUUGUUAUCAGUAAAAUCAGAAAUUUCAGAGGUUUAUUAUGUAUAAUCUCAAAUCAAACCCAAUUUUGAGGUUCAGGUAUUUCUUAUUUAUGAAAUUAAUCAGUUUUUUUUCAUGGUUUUGAGUAAAUAAGUUGUGAUUUCAGAUUUGGGGAAAAAAUAGGCACAUUUCAGACACGGGUGUUAGUUCAAAUCCAAUAAUUAGCUACCUUUUGCACGGUGCCUAUAAAUCUGCUACUCAUCACGAUUGGAGGGAAUUUUAUAUCCUCUAUAAUUCCCCUUCAAAUUUAAAUUAGCUAUAUUUUACUUUCACUUUUUCAUUCGUUUGCUAUUGAAAACUCAAUUAUUUCUUCAUGAAUUGCUAUGAAUUUACCAGAUUACUAGACUAUUUGUUGUACGGCUCCAUUACAGAGUCAGCAGCAUAUGCCAAAUUGAUGGUAAAUUGACUGCCGCUUGGAGCCAAUAGUAAAUCUAGUCAGAUUGUUGUGAUUUGCUUGAAUAACUCACUGUUGAUUCGUGCUUCAAUUAUCUGUCUAAAUCCCUCAUCAUUAGUUGAUUUAUGCGAAUAAUUUUAGGGGUUUUUUAAAUUUUAGGUUGUUAGAAGUAGCAUUGCCUCCAAAGAGUAGCCUUAUGAAUGGAUCAAGGUUUCAUAUUGGUUUAGUUAAGGGGCAUAAACCAAUUUGGAUCAAAUGUUAUAUUUGAUCCUUAUUUGCUAAGGCCUUCUUAUUAUGGGGACUGUUUUUAUGCUUUUGAUUGUCCUCUUAAGUAGUCUUGGACAUUUUAAUUCAGUUUCUGGGUUGUUUGUUAAUUAAUGGUUUGAAUUAGUUUAAAGAACAAGCCUUCGAAUAGCUGAAUGGUUAAUCUAGGAAUCAUUUGGUUCAGACAGAGGCUUAGAUUGAAACUGGGAUUACAUCCCUCGAACGAACCAGUUGGAUGGAUGAUGAGGGAUGUAUAAUUUUACCUAAAUCCUUCAAUUAGGAUGACUUCGGAUAUAUGCAUUAUAUUAUGUGGUAAGAGUUGGUUUGUGAUUCUAUUAUCGGUGAUGAGGCCUUAACAUAUAAGGAUGGUCCGACUAUGUGUCGGAUCUUCGAUGCAAUACUCUUGUUAACGCUUGGCUUCUGAGAUAAAACUUCAAAGCAAACAAACAACUGGUAAUUAUGUAUGAUUAUCAUCUUGAAAACUCAAAGAUUGUAUCUUUUUGUGUUUAUUUUAUGCCUGGGAGGAGAGGAUUAGUUGUAUCUGGUUAUGUAAAUAUCAGAUAUAUUUCUAAUCCCUUGACAUUGUUCUUGUCCCAAAAAUGAUAGCUGCAGGAUUUAAUGCUUGUGCACCAUUCAUUGUGGUUUCCAAGUUUGGCUUUUCUGUGACAUUUUUGUUCUGCUAAUUGUCUUUGUGGUUUAAUGUUAUGGAUCGUGUGUCUUUUUUUUGAAAGCUAAUGAUUUUUGAUGCAGGGUGCAACCGAAAGACUGUUAGUGUUCCAACAGAUUGUUGUUUUUAGUUUCUACAUUUACAGUCAAAAUGUAUUACAUUUACAGUAGUAGAAAGUUGUACCAAGAAAAUAGAAAUGAAAUGAUAAUUAUUUUUUAAACCUUUGCAAUA
This is a long non-coding RNA of Spinacia oleracea (spinach), 3639 nucleotides long. RefSeq lists it as uncharacterized. The transcript has 2 exons. The record is from RefSeq and is a predicted model, not a curated record. NCBI's taxonomy places the organism in Eukaryota, Viridiplantae, Streptophyta, Magnoliopsida, Caryophyllales, Amaranthaceae.